UACGGAGGGUGCAAGCGUUAAUCGGAAUUACUGGGCGUAAAGCGCGCGUAGGCGGUUCGUUAAGUCAGAUGUGAAAGCCCCGGGCUCAACCUGGGAACUGCAUUUGAUACUGGCGAACUGGAGUAUACUAGAGGGGGGUGGAAUUUCAGGUGUAGCGGUGAAAUGCGUAGAGAUCUGAAGGAACACCAGUGGCGAAGGCGGCCCCCUGGAGUAAUACUGACGCUGAGGUGCGAAAGCGUGGGGAGCAAACAGG
Molecule: ribosomal RNA, 253 nt
Filed under: uncultured bacterium
Lineage: Bacteria
Description: partial 16S ribosomal RNA
Rfam family: Bacterial small subunit ribosomal RNA
Source: RNAcentral